Molecule: long non-coding RNA, 359 nt
Organism: Mustela erminea (ermine)
Lineage: Eukaryota; Metazoa; Chordata; Mammalia; Carnivora; Mustelidae
Exons: 3
Source: RefSeq, a predicted model, not a curated record
UGCCAAUGAAUUAUUCCAUGUAAUAUAGCUUUGUAGUAUUUUCAGAAUAUUGGACGUUAUUAAUAAAAGAACAAUAGACAAUCCAAAUUUUAGAUUCCAAUUGUCUCUAAGAUGACUGUGUGUUUAUGAUAAGGACGGGGGAGGAAAAUGCCUGCCAGCUUCUUUGCUCCUGGAGAAGUCCCUCACUGAACUCUGAGGUAAGGAAGGAAUUAUUGUGUGCCUACUAUAUUCUACAUACUGUCCUUGUUGCUGGAAAUUGGCAGCAAAGAAUCAGCAAAGGUAGGAUUUCUUCCUCUAUAGAUUUUAAUGUUAAUAGAAGAAGAAGAAAAAGAAUAAAUAAAGUUAUAAGUAAAUAUGUU